UCCCGGUGAGGAAACAGUCACAUGUCUUACCUCCUCUCCUAGUCCCAGAGCCUGUAAAGGUGAACUAAGGCAGGCAC
This is a small nucleolar RNA of Suricata suricatta (meerkat), 77 nucleotides long. Its record names the gene SNORD22. It matches the Rfam family "Small nucleolar RNA SNORD22". Rfam says of the family: U22 is a member of the C/D class of snoRNA which contain the C (UGAUGA) and D (CUGA) box motifs. U22 is encoded within the U22 snoRNA host gene (UHG) in mammals and has also been identified in Xenopus. U22 is thought to as a 2'-O-ribose methylation guide for ribosomal RNA. The record is from Ensembl. Lineage: Eukaryota; Metazoa; Chordata; Mammalia; Carnivora; Herpestidae.